RNAcentral lists this ribosomal RNA (465 nucleotides) under uncultured bacterium. RNAcentral describes it as "partial 16S ribosomal RNA". It matches the Rfam family "Bacterial small subunit ribosomal RNA", at positions 338 to 795 of the family's 1533-position model. The record is from RNAcentral.
CCUACGGGAGGCAGCAGUAGGGAAUCUUCCACAAUGGACGAAAGUCUGCUGGAGCAACGCCGCGUGAGUGAAGAAGGGUUUCGGCUCGUACAGCUCUGUUAGUAGUGAAGAAAGAUAGAGGUAGUAACUGGCCUUUAUUUGCUGGUAAUUACUUCGAUAGUCACGGCUAACUACGUGCCAGCAUCCGCGGUAAGACGUAGGUGGCAAGCGUGGUCCGGAUUUAUUGGGUGUAAAGCGAGUGCAGGCGGUUGAAUAAGUGUGAUGUGGAAGCCUUCGGCUGAACCCGGGAAUUGCAUCCGAAACUGUUGACCGUGAGUGCAGAAGAGGUGAGUGGAACUCCAUGUGUAGCGGUGGAAUGCGUAGAUAUAUGGAAGAACACCAGUUGCGAAGGCGGCUCUCUGGUCUGCAACUGACGCUGAGGCUCGAAAGCAUGGGUAGCGAACAGGAUUAGAUACCCUUGUAGUC